UACGAAGGGGGCUAGCGUUGCUCGGAAUUACUGGGCGUAAAGCGCACGUAGGCGGCUUUCUAAGUCGGGGGUGAAAUCCUGGAGCUCAACUCCAGAACUGCCUUCGAUACUGGAAAGCUCGAGUCCGGGAGAGGUGAGUGGAACUGCGAGUAUAGAGGUGAAAUUCGUAGAUAUUCGCAAGAACACCAGUGGCGAAGGCGGCUCACUGGCCCGGUACUGACGCUGAGGUGCGAAAGCGUGGGGAGCAAACAGG
Molecule: ribosomal RNA, 253 nt
Filed under: uncultured bacterium
Lineage: Bacteria
Description: partial 16S ribosomal RNA
Rfam family: Bacterial small subunit ribosomal RNA
Source: RNAcentral